UAAUGCCGGAUGCUCCAGUUGGAUGCAUGUCCUUCUGGGAAAGAUUCAUCGGUAUGGGAUGGGGUCGCGUCCUAUCAGCUUGAUGGCGGGGUAACGGCCCACCAUGGCUUCGACGGGUAGCCGGCCUGAGAGGGCGACCGGCCACAUUGGGACUGAGAUACGGCCCAGACUCCUACGGGAGGCAGCAGUGGGGAAUAUUGCACAAUGGGCGCAAGCCUGAUGCAGCGACGCCGCGUGCGGGAUGACGGCCUUCGGGUUGUAAACCGCUUUUGACUGGGAGCAAGCCCUUCGGGGUGAGUGUACCUUUCGAAUAAGCACCGGCUAACUACGUGCCAGCAGCCGCGGUAAUACGUAGGGUGCAAGCGUUAUCCGGAAUUAUUGGGCGUAAAGGGCUCGUAGGCGGUUCGUCGCGUCCGGUGUGAAAGUCCAUCGCUUAACGGUGGAUCCGCGCCGGGUACGGGCGGGCUUGAGUGCGGUAGGGGAGACUGGAAUUCCCGGUGUAACGGUGGAAUG
Molecule: ribosomal RNA, 513 nt
Filed under: uncultured Bifidobacterium sp.
Lineage: Bacteria; Bacillati; Actinomycetota; Actinomycetes; Bifidobacteriales; Bifidobacteriaceae
Description: bacterial SSU rRNA
Rfam family: Bacterial small subunit ribosomal RNA
Source: RNAcentral